This 252-nucleotide ribosomal RNA is filed under the name uncultured organism. RNAcentral describes it as "partial 16S ribosomal RNA". It matches the Rfam family "Bacterial small subunit ribosomal RNA", at positions 524 to 776 of the family's 1533-position model. The record is from RNAcentral.
UACGGAAGGUCCGGGCGUUAUCCGGAAUUAUUGGGUUUAAAGGGAGCGCAGGCGGGAGUAUAAGUCAGCUGUUAAAUAUCAGGGCCCAACUCUGUUAUGCAGUUGAAACUAUAUUUCUUGAGUACGCACAGGGAUGGCGGAAUUCAGGGUGUAGCGGUGAAAUGCUUAGAUAUCCUGAAGAACUCCGAUCGCGAAGGCAGCCAUCCGGAGCGUAACUGACGCUGAGGCUCGAAGGUGCGGGUAUCGAACAGG